UACGUAGGGGGCAAGCGUUGUCCGGAAUCAUUGGGCGUAACGAGCGUGUAGGCGGCCCGAUAAGUCCGCUGUGAAAGUCCAGGGCUCAACCCUGGGAUGCCGGUGGAUACUGUCGGGCUCGAGUCCGGAAGAGGAGUGUGGAAUUCCUGGUGUAGCGGUGAAAUGCGCAGAUAUCAGGAGGAACACCAAUGGCGAAGGCAGCACUCUGGGACGUGACUGACGCUGAGACGCGAAAGCGUGGGGAGCAAACAGG
Molecule: ribosomal RNA, 253 nt
Filed under: uncultured bacterium
Lineage: Bacteria
Description: partial 16S ribosomal RNA
Rfam family: Bacterial small subunit ribosomal RNA
Source: RNAcentral